This 490-nucleotide ribosomal RNA is filed under the name uncultured bacterium. RNAcentral describes it as "partial 16S ribosomal RNA". It matches the Rfam family "Bacterial small subunit ribosomal RNA", at positions 30 to 507 of the family's 1533-position model. The record is from RNAcentral.
AUUGAACGCUGGCGGCAGGCCUAACACAUGCAAGUCGAACGGUAACAGGAAGAAGCUUGCUUCUUUGCUGACGAGUGGCGGACGGGUGAGUAAUGUCUGGGAAACUGCCUGAUGGAGGGGGAUAACUACUGGAAACGGUAGCUAAUACCGCAUAACGUCGCAAGACCAAAGAGGGGGACCUUCGGGCCUCUUGCCAUCGGAUGUGCCCAGAUGGGAUUAGCUAGUAGGUGGGGUAACGGCUCACCUAGGCGACGAUCCCUAGCUGGUCUGAGAGGAUGACCAGCCACACUGGAACUGAGACACGCUCCAGACUCCUACGGGAGGCAGCAGUGGGGAAUAUUGCACAAUGGGCGCAAGCCUGAUGCAGCCAUGCCGCGUGUAUGAAGAAGGCCUUCGGGUUGUAAAGUACUUUCAGCGGGGAGGAAGGGAGUAAAGUUAAUACCUUUGCUCAUUGACGUUACCCGCAGAAGAAGCACCGGCCAACUCCGUG